This 253-nucleotide ribosomal RNA is filed under the name uncultured bacterium. Its description in RNAcentral is "partial 16S ribosomal RNA". It matches the Rfam family "Bacterial small subunit ribosomal RNA", at positions 524 to 776 of the family's 1533-position model. The record is from RNAcentral.
UACGUAGGUGACAAGCGUUGUCCGGAUUUACUGGGCGUAAAGGGCGCGUAGGCGGCUUAUCAAGUCAGGCGUGAAAUUCCCGGGCUCAACCUGGGGGCUGCGCUUGAUACUGAUGAGCUUGAAUGCGGGAGAGGAUAGUGGAAUUCCCAGUGUAGAGGUGAAAUUCGUAGAUAUUGGGAAGAACACCGGUGGCGAAGGCGGCUAUCUGGCCCGUAAUUGACGCUGAGGCGCGAAAGCGUGGGGAGCAAACAGG